Molecule: small nuclear RNA, 191 nt
Organism: Cottoperca gobio
Lineage: Eukaryota; Metazoa; Chordata; Actinopteri; Perciformes; Bovichtidae
Gene: U2
Rfam family: U2 spliceosomal RNA
About the family: U2 is a small nuclear RNA (snRNA) component of the spliceosome (involved in pre-mRNA splicing). Complementary binding between U2 snRNA (in an area lying towards the 5' end but 3' to hairpin I) and the branchpoint sequence (BPS) of the intron results the bulging out of an unpaired adenosine, on the BPS, which initiates a nucleophilic attack at the intronic 5' splice site, thus starting the first of two transesterification reactions that mediate splicing.
Source: Ensembl
AUCGCUUCUCGGCCUUUUGGCUAAGAUCAAGUGUAGUAUCUGUUCUUAUCAGUUUAAUAUCUGAUACGUCCCCUACCCGGGGACCAUAUAUUAAAUUGAUUUUUGGAAUAGGGAGAUGGAAUAGGGGCUUGCUCCGUCCACUCCACGCAUCGACCUGGUAUUGCAGUACCUCCAGGAACGGUGCACCCCCU